GCACGCCUCCUCCGUCCCCAUCUUCUUCGCGCUUCUCUUCACCGAAAACCAUAGCUGCUCUGCCUUUUUCUUCCUUUCAUUUAUCCUUCGAGCAGCUCAUCUUCUUCAAUUUGACCGCCCGUCUUCUCCAACAAUUUCCCAUCUUCUGCCGCGCGUCAGCUUCUAUCUGCACACGUCCCCCACCGAGUCAACUAACGGAGCAAGGAGUUGACCCACCAGCUCCAUCUUCGACCGAUUCAGCCCCUCAUCCCCACACGUCUCCGCCGAAGCUGCUCCACUUCCACUUCACGCGUCCUCCACCGAAUCGCGUUCCAGCAGCAAGAAGCCCCAACGUUGACCUCUCUCUCUCCGCCUGAUCAUUCCACCGAAGUGCCCCUGCAGCAGCCGCUUCACCCAUCAAUCCUGCUGCUUCUCCUUCACGAAUCCCUGCCCCAUCGUUGACCGCAAGCCAGCGAAGCCGCACGUCCCCGAGCCAACUUCCAUCGCGUCUUCAGCCCACGGAUCCAGCCCAUUCGAAGUCCUCCAACAGAACGUCUUCAGCCCAGCGAAUUCAGCCCACAAUUCGGCCAAGUUUCAGUCCAGCAGGCCGCACAUCUCGGCCCAUCAAGUGAGCCCAGCAGCCCACCGAAGUCAGCCCAUCUACUCCAGCAUUCCAGCAAGCCCAGCUUGCAACUUCAGCUUUCGGUCCAGCCCAACUCAAGAACAAAUCUCAGCUUGGGCUGAGAUUUGUUGGGCCAUUUUCGGGCCCGGUCCAAGCCCUGUUGGUGCUGCCGCAAGCCCGAGUUUCAGCCGCUAUCGCGCCGUCGUCGCGGUGAACCGGUUUUUGCGUUAAACCGGAUCGUAGAAUGGAGGACUUGGAGUCGAGCUAAGAAGAUCUAAGGUGUGGGUCAGAUAGGACAGUUUCUUUUGAGAGCUGGUCUGUUGAAGUCUUUUGCUUGUAAACUUUUGUACUUGACUCAGUGUAUUAAAAAGCAUGUUUCGUUUGAGAAUUUGUUGUCCUACUUUUCUA
This is a long non-coding RNA of Eucalyptus grandis, 1009 nucleotides long. RefSeq lists it as uncharacterized. Lineage: Eukaryota; Viridiplantae; Streptophyta; Magnoliopsida; Myrtales; Myrtaceae. The transcript has 2 exons. The record is from RefSeq and is a predicted model, not a curated record.